Long non-coding RNA from Oryza sativa Japonica Group (Japanese rice), 931 nucleotides. RefSeq lists it as uncharacterized. The record is from RefSeq and is a predicted model, not a curated record. NCBI's taxonomy places the organism in Eukaryota, Viridiplantae, Streptophyta, Magnoliopsida, Poales, Poaceae.
AUCCCAGAAAUCCAAUCGAAUCCCCUGUCCCCAUUUUUUUCCCCACCAUCCUGAGUGACGAAAUCCCUAGCAAGCUCUUCUUCAAUUUGCCACCCCCUUCUUCGAUUCACUAACGGCGCUGUGGCGACGUCAAGAUCGACUGGAGCUGCAUGCAGUUCAUCGUGUCCUGCCGUGGCUACAGCGCCAACAACAACCCCAUCGGUGUGUGACCGUCGUGUCCUACUGAAAAGGCAAUGGAUUAGUUCUGAGGAGGCCAAUAAGAUGGUUGCCGUGGCAAAAGAAGCAGUUGCGAUUGAGAAUUCACAAGUUGUCAAUGAACAAGAAUCGGUUGUUACGAACCAGGAUGUCAUAGAAGAACAAUUGCUGCUUCCCAAUCUUCAUCUCAAUCACUGUCACAACUAGGAAGCACUGUGCUCAGUCAGAUGGCUAAUCAACCAAGUCAGAGUUCUUAGCUCUCUCAGCAGCAAUGCCCCUUGUCAGAUCCUAAGUUCAUCAUGUCUAACAGACCAGCAUCAAGACCUACUCCUCUUACAACCAGCACCAAGAUAGGGAAGGCCACAACGCUCUAAGAAAAAGAAGAGUACAACUGGAAACAAAAAAUCUGGACCUGCUGCAUUAAAGAAGUCUAGUGUUGUGGCUGGAACUGGGUGACAAUUUUAGUCUGGAGCGGCACAUGAUACAUGUAGUUAGUUCAUUUUCGGGAUAUUUUGUUGCCUCAAAAUCUGGCAUGAAUUUUGUUGACAGCAAUCUAGGAUGUGCAUAGUCAAUGGAUGCUAUAUUACCUACCUGCCAUGGUGGUUUAACUGAUAGUUGGACAAUAUCAGUGCUACCUGGGUUCAAAGUCAAUCGAUGCAUUUUGUAAUACUUUCCGUACUUAAACAAUCUGAAAUGGAUGUUAUGUCUCAUUGUUGAAUGUGUCUCAAUCUGUGUU